RNAcentral lists this ribosomal RNA (254 nucleotides) under uncultured bacterium. RNAcentral's name for it is "partial 16S ribosomal RNA". It matches the Rfam family "Bacterial small subunit ribosomal RNA", at positions 524 to 776 of the family's 1533-position model. The record is from RNAcentral.
UACGGGGGGGGCAAGCGUUGUUCGGUAUUACUGGGCGUAAAGGGCUCGUAGGCGGCCAACUAAGUCAGACGUGAAAUCCCUCGGCUUAACCGGGGAACUGCGUCUGAUACUGGAUGGCUUGAGUUUGGGAGAGGGAUGCGGAAUUCCAGGUGUAGCGGUGAAAUGCGUAGAUAUCUGGAGGAACACCGGUGGCGAAGGCGGCAUCCUGGACCAACACUGACGCUGAGUGAGCGAAAGCCAGGGGAGCAAACGGG